Molecule: transfer RNA, 67 nt
Filed under: Ovis aries (sheep)
Lineage: Eukaryota; Metazoa; Chordata; Mammalia; Artiodactyla; Bovidae
Rfam family: tRNA
About the family: Transfer RNA (tRNA) molecules are approximately 80 nucleotides in length. Their secondary structure includes four short double-helical elements and three loops (D, anti-codon, and T loops). Further hydrogen bonds mediate the characteristic L-shaped molecular structure. tRNAs have two regions of fundamental functional importance: the anti-codon, which is responsible for specific mRNA codon recognition, and the 3' end, to which the tRNAs corresponding amino acid is attached (by aminoacyl-tRNA synthetases). tRNAs cope with the degeneracy of the genetic code in two manners: having more than one tRNA (with a specific anti-codon) for a particular amino acid; and 'wobble' base-pairing, i.e. permitting non-standard base-pairing at the 3rd anti-codon position.
Source: Rfam by way of RNAcentral
UCCUGCUCAGAGGUUAAAGUGUCUGCCUCCAAUGCAGGAGACCCGGGUUCGAUCCCUGGGUCAGGAA